RNAcentral lists this long non-coding RNA (328 nucleotides) under Mustela putorius furo (domestic ferret). RNAcentral describes it as "lncRNA (ENSMPUG00000029905.1)". The record is from RNAcentral. Lineage: Eukaryota; Metazoa; Chordata; Mammalia; Carnivora; Mustelidae.
UGACAAACUACUGCGUGGUGCUCAUCAACUUUUCACAUUUACAUCAUGAUUAUAUGCUCCUUAAAGAUAGAGAGACAGCAAGUACGCAGGGGGAGGAGGAACAGACUCCCAAUGGAGCCAGAUUCGGGGCUUGAUACCACAACCCUGAAGUCACGACCGGAACUGAAAUCAAGAGUCAGACACUUAACUGAGCCACCCAGGUGCCCCGCCCUCUUUUUAAAAAUUCUGUUAUUUCUUCCUAAGAUGCUAUUGACACCAUGAAUUCAUUCAAAAGAUAAUAACAUAAAUGUUAAAUGAAUGCAAGGAACUUAAUUUAACUGCGUUAUGC